AGUGAACGCUGGCGGUAGGCCUAACACAUGCAAGUCGAACGGCAGCACAGUAAGAGCCUGCUCUUACGGGUGGCGAGUGGCGGACGGGUGAGGAAUACAUCGGAAUCUACUUUUUCGUGGGGGAUAACGUAGAGAAACUUACGCUAAUACCGCAUACGACCUACGGGUGAAAGCAGGGGAUCUUCGGACCUUGCGCGAUUGAAUGAGCCGAUGUCGGAUUAGCUAGUUGGCGGGGUAAAGGCCCACCAAGGCGACGAUCCGUAGCUGGUCUGAGAGGAUGAUCAGCCACACUGGAACUGAGACACGGUCCAGACUCCUACGGGAGGCAGCAGUGGGGAAUAUUGGACAAUGGGCGCAAGCCUGAUCCAGCCAUACCGCGUGGGUGAAGAAGGCCUUCGGGUUGUAAAGCCCUUUUGUUGGGAAAGAAAAGCAGCAGGUUAAUACCCCGCUGUUCUGACGGUACCCAAAGAAUAAGCACCGGCUAACUUCGUG
RNAcentral lists this ribosomal RNA (492 nucleotides) under uncultured bacterium. Its description in RNAcentral is "partial 16S ribosomal RNA". It matches the Rfam family "Bacterial small subunit ribosomal RNA", at positions 29 to 507 of the family's 1533-position model. The record is from RNAcentral.